GAUGAACGCUGGCGGCGUGCCUAAUACAUGCAAGUCGAGCGAACAGACGAGGAGCUUGCUCCUCUGACGUUAGCGGCGGACGGGUGAGUAACACGUGGAUAACCUACCUAUAAGACUGGGAUAACUUCGGGAAACCGGAGCUAAUACCGGAUAAUAUAUUGAACCGCAUGGUUCAAUAGUGAAAGACGGUUUUGCUUUCACUUAUAGAUGGAUCCGCGCCGCAUUAGCUAGUUGGUAAGGUAACGGCUUACCAAGGCAACGAUGCGUAACCGACCUGAGAGGGUGAUCGGCCACACUGGAACUGAGACACGGUCCAGACUCCUACGGGAGGCAGCAGUAGGGAAUCUUCCGCAAUGGGCGAAAGCCUGACGGAGCAACGCCGCGUGAGUGAUGAAGGUCUUCGGAUCGUAAAACUCUGUUAUUAGGGAAGAACAAAUGUGUAAGUAACUAUGCACGUCUUGACGGUACCUAAUCAGAAAGCCACGGCUAACUACGUG
Molecule: ribosomal RNA, 497 nt
Filed under: uncultured bacterium
Lineage: Bacteria
Description: partial 16S ribosomal RNA
Rfam family: Bacterial small subunit ribosomal RNA
Source: RNAcentral